AUCAGAGAAACACAAUCAACUGAGAGAAAAUAUAUGUGUGAUGAAUGUGGGAAAACAUUCACUCAAAACUCAAGCCCCAUUAGACAUAAAAUAAUCUGUACUGGUAACACACCCUCUUCAUGUAAUGUAUGUAGCAAAACUUUUACUCAGAGCUCACAACUUACUGACCAUCAGAGAAUACAUAGCCAUAUAAAACCCUAUCAGUGUGAUGAGUGUGAAAAAGUCUUUUAUUACAGUUCAUAUCUUAUUCAGCAUUGAAGGACCCACACAGGAGAAACCUUUCCAAUGUAGUGAGUGUGGGAAAGUCUUUCAUCACAGCUCAGAUGUUAUUUGACACCAGAGAACUCACACGGAAAAGAAACCAUACCAGUGUAAUGAUUGUGGGAAAUCCUCUCUGAGUUCAUAUCUGAGACAACAUCAGAGUUCAUACUGAAGAGAAGCCAUAGCAGUGUAGUGAGUGAGGGAAAAGCUUUAGCUAGUGCUUGGGCCUCUUCUGUCACCAGAAAAUCCACAGUGGAAAGAAACUAUAUGAAUGUGACAAGCGUGGAAAGGCCUUCAGAUACAGUUCAGCUCUUGUUGGACACCAGCGAAUCCACGGUAGAGAGAAGCCCUAUGAGUGUGAUGUGUGUGGGAAAGCUUUCAGUAACAGCUCACAUCUUUUGAGACACCAAAGAACCCACACUGGAGAAAAGCCCUGCAAAUGUGAUGCAUAUGGAAAAGCUUUCAGGCAGAGCUCACACCUCAUUUUACAUGAGCAAAUCCACACUGGAAAGAAGCCCCGGUGAUGUCAAGCGUGAUGCAACAUUGUUCAUCUAUGCUCAUUCCUGUGGAACAUCAAAAAAGCACAACUAGUAAAAGAUGCCACCAAUACAGUGAUGCAGGGAACUCUGCAAUCACUAUUGCAAUUUCAGCAGUCAUUUAAAA
RNAcentral lists this long non-coding RNA (924 nucleotides) under Homo sapiens (human). RNAcentral describes it as "non-protein coding lnc-ZSCAN16-1:1". The record is from RNAcentral. Lineage: Eukaryota; Metazoa; Chordata; Mammalia; Primates; Hominidae.